GAUGAACGCUAGCUACAGGCUUAACACAUGCAAGUCGAGGGGCAUCAUGGGAGUUGCUUGCAACUUCUGAUGGCGACCGGCGCACGGGUGCGUAACGCGUAUCCAACCUUCCAGCUACUAGGGAAUAGCCCGUUGAAAGACGGAUUAAUGCCCUAUGUGUUCAUUAGAUGGCAUCAGAUGUUGAACAAAGAUUCAUCGGUAGCUGAUGGGGAUGCGUAUGAUUAGCUAGUCGGCGGGGUAACGGCCCACCGGGGCAACGAUCAGUAGGGGUUCUGAGAGGAAGGUCCCCCACAUUGGUACUGAGACACGGACCAAACUCC
Molecule: ribosomal RNA, 320 nt
Filed under: uncultured Prevotella sp.
Lineage: Bacteria; Pseudomonadati; Bacteroidota; Bacteroidia; Bacteroidales; Prevotellaceae
Description: bacterial SSU rRNA
Rfam family: Bacterial small subunit ribosomal RNA
Source: RNAcentral